This 301-nucleotide small RNA is filed under the name Pongo abelii (Sumatran orangutan). RNAcentral describes it as "processed transcript". Lineage: Eukaryota; Metazoa; Chordata; Mammalia; Primates; Hominidae. The record is from RNAcentral.
CCAAGCCAUGACUAAGGAGCCCAUUUGAUAGCAGAGGUGGCGCGCAGCCCGGCGAGCCGAUGACGGACCCCUUCUUCCUGCCUUCAAUGCCUCAGCGGAAGAUCCCCAAGGGCUGGAGCCAGGAGCGCUGCCGCUGGACAUCCUCCCGGGGAGGCUGCUCCGACCUGCUGCGCGGCGCGUCUGAGACUGGGGACUGAGCCACCCCGCCGCCGCCGCCGCUGCUGCCCGCUCCGUCGCUGCCGUCGGUCUGGACUGGCCCCCACCUCGCUGCGCCCUCUCCCCGGCCCCGGCCCCGGCUCGG